UACGUAGGGGGCAAGCGUUGUCCGGAAUCAUUGGGCGUAAAGCGCGCGUAGGCGGCCCGGUAAGUCCGCUGUGAAAGUCCAGGGCUCAACCCUGGAAAGCCGGUGGAUACUGUCGGGCUAGAGUCCGGAAGAGGCGAGUGGAAUUCCUGGUGUAGCGGUGGAAUGCGCAGAUAUCAGGAGGAACACCGAUGGCGAAGGCAGCUCGCUGGGACGGUACUGACGCUCAGGCGCGAAAGCGUGGGGAGCGAACAGG
This 253-nucleotide ribosomal RNA is filed under the name uncultured bacterium. Its description in RNAcentral is "partial 16S ribosomal RNA". It matches the Rfam family "Bacterial small subunit ribosomal RNA", at positions 524 to 776 of the family's 1533-position model. The record is from RNAcentral.